RNAcentral lists this ribosomal RNA (253 nucleotides) under uncultured bacterium. RNAcentral describes it as "partial 16S ribosomal RNA". It matches the Rfam family "Bacterial small subunit ribosomal RNA", at positions 524 to 776 of the family's 1533-position model. The record is from RNAcentral.
UACGUAGGAGGCGAGCGUUGUUCGGAAUUACUGGGCGUAAAGCGCACGUAGGCGGCUUUGCAAGUUAGAGGUGAAAGCCCGGGGCUCAACUCCGGAAUUGCCUUUAAAACUGCAUCGCUAGAAUUGUGGAGAGGUAAGUGGAAUUCCGAGUGUAGAGGUGAAAUUCGUAGAUAUUCGGAAGAACACCAGUGGCGAAGGCGACUUACUGGACACAUAUUGACGCUGAGGUGCGAAAGCGUGGGGAGCAAACAGG